GGUGGUUCUCAGGUGACGCACCCCAGAAUCGGGCUCCGUCCUCUCUGGAUCCAGGUGCGUCACCUGAGAACCACA
Molecule: non-coding RNA, 75 nt
Organism: Myotis davidii
Lineage: Eukaryota; Metazoa; Chordata; Mammalia; Chiroptera; Vespertilionidae
Source: Rfam